Molecule: long non-coding RNA, 923 nt
Filed under: Gallus gallus (chicken)
Lineage: Eukaryota; Metazoa; Chordata; Aves; Galliformes; Phasianidae
Source: RNAcentral
CUUGAGAAGUUGAGGAAAUGAACGUGUCUAGUGAAUAAAUAGGGCUGCUCAGCAGUGCUUAUGUUUUUAAUCAAUUCCAUCUGUUCGUUUUUGGUCAGUCUUGUUUUGUUGUGAAUGUCAGAUGUUACCAGGUUGAAUCCAUGUUUCUCUGAUAAAAUUCUCAAAAGCAAAACCACAGUUCUACUCCCACACUUUCCAACUCUGUUGUAGACCACCUGGCUGGGGAAAGGAAGUACCUUUUGAGGGGGUGGUCCGUGGUCAUCCAAAUAAGUGGAAUUUCCCAGAUAGUGCCGCAGGUCCAGCAGAAAGUGCGGGGGUCCCCCGUUGAGCUGGUAAAAGAGGGAGCCCACGCAGAAGAGCAGCAGGGCGGCCAUGCAGAAGCCGUAGUCGCGCAGAGAGAGGAAGGGCAGCAGCGAGAGGGGCCGCCGCCGCUUCCAGCCCCCGCCCUGGCUCGGGCCCCCUGCCGCCGCCACCGCCGCGGGGGCCGGAGCGCCGGGCAGUCCCCGCCGCCGCCGUGCUGCUGCUUCUUCUUCAUGCUACCCCCGCCGCCGGCUCACGCAGCCCGCCGGGCUGGGCGCAUCCUCCAUCCGCCUGCUCGGCUCCGGCUGCCCGCGGCGGGGAAAGUUCGCGGUGACUCAGGGGGCCCGUCCCGUCCCCAUCGCCGGCUUCCCCCGGCCCCGUGCAGGCGAGAGUCCCGGCGCUGCGGCGGCGGCUGCUGCGAAGCGCCGCUAAGGGGAGGGGAAGAAGGUGGUCACCAUCCCGCUCCUUGGGGCUCCUCUCCUCCUCCUCCGCCGCCGCUCUCUCGCUCCCUCUCUCCGCUCGGCCUCUCGCUCCGGUGUCAAGUUACAGCCCCCGCUCCGCCGCCGACGGCCUGCGGCUCGCGGCCGAGUCGUGCGCACCGCGCGGCCCCCGCUCCUCACCCC